This 473-nucleotide ribosomal RNA is filed under the name Enterobacter sp. ITSI60. Its description in RNAcentral is "bacterial SSU rRNA". It matches the Rfam family "Bacterial small subunit ribosomal RNA", at positions 30 to 492 of the family's 1533-position model. Lineage: Bacteria; Pseudomonadati; Pseudomonadota; Gammaproteobacteria; Enterobacterales; Enterobacteriaceae. The record is from RNAcentral.
AUUGAACGCUGGCGGCAGGCCUAACACAUGCAAGUCGAACGGUAACAGGAAGCAGCUUGCUGCUUUGCUGACGAGUGGCGGACGGGUGAGUAAUGUCUGGGAAACUGCCUGAUGGAGGGGGAUAACUACUGGAAACGGUAGCUAAUACCGCAUAAUGUCGCAAGACCAAAGAGGGGGACCUUCGGGCCUCUUGCCAUCAGAUGUGCCCAGAUGGGAUUAGCUAGUAGGUGGGGUAACGGCUCACCUAGGCGACGAUCCCUAGCUGGUCUGAGAGGAUGACCAGCCACACUGGAACUGAGACACGGUCCAGACUCCUACGGGAGGCAGCAGUGGGGAAUAUUGCACAAUGGGCGCAAGCCUGAUGCAGCCAUGCCGCGUGUAUGAAGAAGGCCUUCGGGUUGUAAAGUACUUUCAGCGGGGAGGAAGGCGCUGCGGUUAAUAACCGCAGCGAUUGACGUACCCGCAGAAGAGCA